RNAcentral lists this ribosomal RNA (253 nucleotides) under uncultured bacterium. RNAcentral's name for it is "partial 16S ribosomal RNA". It matches the Rfam family "Bacterial small subunit ribosomal RNA", at positions 524 to 776 of the family's 1533-position model. The record is from RNAcentral.
UACGUAGGGGGCAAGCGUUGUCCGGAUUUAUUGGGCGUAAAGAGCGUGUAGGCGGCUAGGUAGGUCCGUUGUGAAAACUCGAGGCUCAACCUCGAGACGUCGAUGGAAACCAUCUAGCUAGAGUCCGGAAGAGGAGAGUGGAAUUCCUGGUGUAGCGGUGAAAUGCGCAGAUAUCAGGAAGAACACCGGUGGCGAAGGCGCUCUGCUAGGCCGCAACUGACACUGAGAGACGAAAGCUAGGGGAGCAAAUGGG